CCUACGGGUGGCAGCAGUGAGGAAUAUUGGGCAAUGGGCGCAAGCCUGACCCAGCAAAGCCGCGUGAAGGAAGAAGGCCUUCGGGUUGUAAACUUCCUUUUAGAGGGAAGAGCAGAAGACGGUACCUCUUGAAUAAGCCACGGCUAACUACUUGCCAGCAGCCGCGGUAAUACGUAGGUGGCAAGCGUUGUCCGGAUUUAGUGGGUGUAAAGGGCGUGCAGCCGGGAAGACAAGUCAGAUGUGAAAUCUAGCGGCUCAACCGCGGAACUGCAUUUGAAACUGUUUUUCUUGAGUACCGGAGAGGUCGUCGGAAUUCCUUGUGUAGCGGUGAAAUGCGUAGAUAUAACGAAGAACACCAGUGGCGAAGGCGGAUGACUGGACGGCAACUGACGGUGAGGCGCGAAAGCGUGGGGAGCAAACAGGAUUAGAUACCCGUGUAGUC
RNAcentral lists this ribosomal RNA (442 nucleotides) under uncultured bacterium. RNAcentral describes it as "partial 16S ribosomal RNA". It matches the Rfam family "Bacterial small subunit ribosomal RNA", at positions 338 to 795 of the family's 1533-position model. The record is from RNAcentral.